RNAcentral lists this ribosomal RNA (307 nucleotides) under uncultured bacterium. RNAcentral describes it as "partial 16S ribosomal RNA". It matches the Rfam family "Bacterial small subunit ribosomal RNA", at positions 506 to 807 of the family's 1533-position model. The record is from RNAcentral.
AGACAGCAGUAGCCACGGGAAUACAGAGGGUGCGAGCGUUAAUCGGAUUUACUGGGCGUAAAGCGUGCGUAGGCGGCUUCUUAAGUCGGAUGUGAAAUCCCUGAGCUUAACUUAGGAAUUGCAUUCGAUACUGGGAAGCUAGAGUAUGGGAGAGGAUGGUAGAAUUCCAGGUGUAGCGGUGAAAUGCGUAGAGAUCUGGAGGAAUACCGAUGGCGAAGGCAGCCAUCUGGCCUAAUACUGACGCUGAGGUACGAAAGCAUGGGGAGCAAACAGGAUUAGAUACCCCGGUAGUCCCUGUCUCUUAUAC